Pipistrellus kuhlii (Kuhl's pipistrelle) is the source of this 247-nucleotide long non-coding RNA. RefSeq lists it as uncharacterized. Lineage: Eukaryota; Metazoa; Chordata; Mammalia; Chiroptera; Vespertilionidae. The transcript is spliced from 3 exons. The record is from RefSeq and is a predicted model, not a curated record.
GAAGCUGGCAUUCUACACUGAGUGGCCAGAUUGUUAUGACUGCCCAGAUUAUUAUGACUACCCCAUCAAUACAAUGAAGUGAAUUAGUUAUGCAAAUAAUAAUAAUAAAAAAAAAACCUUGAGAGUAUUUGCUUAGGAAGUUUUCAAUAUUCAGUAUUUUUGGAAGUGUCAAUGAAGUACUGAUGCGGUGGUCAUAAUAAUCUGGCUGGUCAUAAUAAUUUGGCCACUCAGUGUAUAUUAUAUGUAC